RNAcentral lists this ribosomal RNA (497 nucleotides) under uncultured bacterium. RNAcentral describes it as "partial 16S ribosomal RNA". It matches the Rfam family "Bacterial small subunit ribosomal RNA", at positions 28 to 507 of the family's 1533-position model. The record is from RNAcentral.
GACGAACGCUGGCGGCGUGCCUAAUACAUGCAAGUUGAGCGCUGAAGGUUGGUACUUGUACCAACUGGAUGAGCAGCGAACGGGUGAGUAACGCGUGGGGAAUCUGCCUUUGAGCGGGGGACAACAUUUGGAAACGAAUGCUAAUACCGCAUAAAAACUUUAAACACAAGUUUUAAGUUUGAAAGAUGCAAUUGCAUCACUCAAAGAUGAUCCCGCGUUGUAUUAGCUAGUUGGUGAGGUAAAGGCUCACCAAGGCGAUGAUACAUAGCCGACCUGAGAGGGUGAUCGGCCACAAUGGGACUGAGACACGGCCCAAACUCCUACGGGAGGGAGCAGUAGGGAAUCUUCGGCAAUGGACGAAAGUCUGACCGAGCAACGCCGCGUGAGUGAAGAAGGGUGUCGGAUCGUAAAACUCUGUUGGUAGAGAAGAACGAUGGUGAGAGUGGAAAGCUCAUCAAGUGACGGUAACUACCCAGAAAGGGACGGCUAACUACGUG